GACGAACGCUUGCGGCGUGCCUAAGAAAUGCAAGUCGAACGGAGGUAGCAAUACCUUAGUGGCGAACGGUCGCGUAACACGUAGGCAACCUGCCUCGAAGUGGGGGACAACAGCCCGAAAGGGUUGCUAAUACCGCAUGUGGACAGUUUAGGGCAUCCUAUAUUGUCUAAAGCUAUAUGCGCUUCGAGAUGGGCUUGCGGCCUAUCAGGUAGUUGGUGGGGUAAUGGCCUACCAAGCCGACGACGGGUAGCUGGUCUGAGAGGACGAUCAGCCGGAU
RNAcentral lists this ribosomal RNA (277 nucleotides) under uncultured bacterium. RNAcentral's name for it is "partial 16S ribosomal RNA". It matches the Rfam family "Bacterial small subunit ribosomal RNA", at positions 28 to 313 of the family's 1533-position model. The record is from RNAcentral.